RNAcentral lists this ribosomal RNA (388 nucleotides) under uncultured bacterium. Its description in RNAcentral is "bacterial SSU rRNA". It matches the Rfam family "Bacterial small subunit ribosomal RNA", at positions 28 to 417 of the family's 1533-position model. The record is from RNAcentral.
GACGAACGCUGGCGGCGUGCUUAACACAUGCAAGUCGAGCGGUAAGGCCCUUUCGGGGGUACACGAGCGGCGAACGGGUGAGUAACACGUGGGUGACCUGCCCUCAGCUCUGGGAUAAGCCUGGGAAACCGGGUCUAAUACCGGAUAUGACUCCAUGACGCAUGUUGUGGGGUGGAAAGCCUUGUGCGGCUGAGGAUGGGCCCGCGGCCUAUCAGCUUGUUGGUGGGGUGAUGGCCUACCAAGGCGACGACGGGUAGCCGGCCUGAGAGGGCGACCGGCCACACUGGGACUGAGACACGGCCCAGACUCCUACGGGAGGCAGCAGUGGGGAAUCUUGCGCAAUGGACGAAAGCCUGACGCAGCGACGCCGCGUGAGGGAUGACGGCCU